GGGGAAGGGUAGCUUGCUUCCUGACCUAGCGGCGGCCGGGUGAGUAAUGCUUAGGAAUCUGCCUAUUAGUGGGGGACAACAUUCCGAAAGGAAUGCUAAUACCGCAUACGCCCUACGGGGGAAAGCAGGGGAUCUUCGGACCUUGCGCUAAUAGAUGAGCCUAAGUCAGAUUAGCUAGUUGGUGGGGUAAAGGCCUACCAAGGCGACGAUCUGUAGCGGGUCUGAGAGGAUGAUCCGCCACACUGGGACUGAGACACGGCCCAGACUCCUACGGGAGGCAGCAGUGGGGAAUAUUGGACAAUGGGCGAAAGCCUGAUCCAGCCAUGCCGCGUGUGUGAAGAAGGCCUUUUGGUUGUAAAGCACUUUAAGCGAGGAGGAGGCUACUGAGAUUAAUACUCUUGGAUAGUGGACGUUACUCGCAGAAUAAGCACCGGCUAACUCUGUGCCAGCAGCCGCGGUAAUACAGAGGGUGCGAGCGUUAAUCGGAUUUACUGGGCGUA
This 500-nucleotide ribosomal RNA is filed under the name uncultured bacterium. Its description in RNAcentral is "bacterial SSU rRNA". It matches the Rfam family "Bacterial small subunit ribosomal RNA", at positions 68 to 562 of the family's 1533-position model. The record is from RNAcentral.